This 370-nucleotide unclassified non-coding RNA is filed under the name Zea mays. RNAcentral describes it as "misc RNA Zm00001eb074250". The record is from RNAcentral. Lineage: Eukaryota; Viridiplantae; Streptophyta; Magnoliopsida; Poales; Poaceae.
CUUAAGGAAACUCUCACUAAAAUACAGCUUCUAGAAAAAGAAGUGCAAGAAGAAUGCAAUAAACAGCAAAAUGCUGAAAGAGAACUGCAAUCAGCUCUUCAAAAGAGCAAAGAAUUAGAAAAAUCGUAUAUGAACGAAUUAAGGCAGCAGAAGGCACUCAAGGAAAUGCUUGAAAAACAGAGGCAGGAGAUUGAUGUGAUGAGAAGACAGCAAGAAGAAGCAUAUGCUGCGCUAUACAAUGCAAAUGAGCAGAAGGUCACACUAGAACAACGAAUAAGUGAGAUUGAGCUAUAUGUUAAAGAUAAGGAAGAUGAGCUAGCAAGAAACAAACACCAACUGGAAGCGCUCCAAGCAGAUUGUGACAGGAUAC